RNAcentral lists this long non-coding RNA (200 nucleotides) under Glycine max (soybean). Its description in RNAcentral is "long non-coding RNA (GMAX_LNC004105)". Lineage: Eukaryota; Viridiplantae; Streptophyta; Magnoliopsida; Fabales; Fabaceae. The record is from RNAcentral.
GAAUUUCCAAAGUUUCGUUGCUGGUAAUCGAUUACAGACAUAUGGUAAUCGAUUACAUGUUGAAAAUUCAAAUUCAAAACCUUUUUCAAUAGCUAUUUCUCAAUCCUGUCUUCUGGUAAUCGAUUACACUUCCUGGUAAUCGAUUACCAGAGCCUUGCAUGUCUUGAAAGCACUUUGUUUUAAGGCAAUGCUUGGUCUUU